AGAACGAACGCUGGCGGCAUGCCUAAUACAUGCAAGUCGAACGAACUCUUCGGAGUUAGUGGCGCACGGGUGCGUAACGCGUGGGGAUCUGCCCUUGGGUUCGGAAUAACAGCGAGAAAUUGCUGCUAAUACCGGAUGAUGACGUAAGUCCAAAGAUUUAUCGCCCAAGGAUGAGCCCGCGUAGGAUUAGCUUGUUGGUGAGGUAAGAGCUCACCAAGGCGACGAUCCUUAGCUGGUCUGAGAGGAUGAUCAGCCACACUGGGACUGAGACACGGCCCAGACCUCCUACGGGGAGCAGCAGGUGGGGAAUAGUUGGACAAGUGGG
RNAcentral lists this ribosomal RNA (325 nucleotides) under uncultured soil bacterium. Its description in RNAcentral is "bacterial SSU rRNA". It matches the Rfam family "Bacterial small subunit ribosomal RNA", at positions 26 to 376 of the family's 1533-position model. The record is from RNAcentral.